AGAGUUUGAUCCUGGCUCAGAUUGAACGCUGGCGGCAUGCUUUACACAUGCAAGUCGAACGGCAGCGCGGGGCAACCUGGCGGCGAGUGGCGAACGGGUGAGUAAUAUAUCGGAACGUACCCAAGAGUGGGGGAUAACGUAGCGAAAGUUACGCUAAUACCGCAUACGAUCUAAGGAUGAAAGCAGGGGACCGCAAGGCCUUGUGCUCCUGGAGCGGCCGAUAUCUGAUUAGCUAGUUGGUAGGGUAAAGGCCUACCAAGGCUACGAUCAGUAGCUGGUCUGAGAGGACGACCAGCCACACUGGAACUGAGACACGGUCCAGACUCCUACGGGAGGCAGCAGUGGGGAAUUUUGGACAAUGGGCGCAAGCCUGAUCCAGCAAUGCCGCGUGAGUGAAGAAGGCCUUCGGGUUGUAAAGCUCUUUUGUCAGGGAAGAAACGGUGGGGGCUAAUAUCCGUCCACUAAUGACGGUACCUGAAGAAUAAGCACCGGCUAACUACGUGCCAGCAGCCGCGGUAAUACGUAGGGUGCAAGCGUUAAUCGGAAUUACUGGGCGUAAAGCGUGCGCAGGCGGUUUUGUAAGUCUGUCGUGAAAUCCCCGGGCUCAACCUGGGAAUUGCGAUGGAGACUGCAAGGCUAGAAUCUGGCAGAGGGGGGUAGAAUUCCACGUGUAGCAGUGAAAUGCGUAGAGAUGUGGAGGAACACCGAUGGCGAAGGCAGCCCCCUGGGUCAAGAUUGACGCUCAUGCACGAAAGCGUGGGGAGCAAACAGGAUUAGAUACCCUGGUAGUCCACGCCCUAAACGAUGUCUACUAGUUGUCGGGUUUUAAUUAACUUGGUAACGCAGCUAACGCGUGAAGUAGACCGCCUGGGGAGUACGGUCGCAAGAUUAAAACUCAAAGGAAUUGACGGGGACCCGCACAAGCGGUGGAUGAUGUGGAUUAAUUCGAUGCAACGCGAAAAACCUUACCUACCCUUGAC
RNAcentral lists this ribosomal RNA (980 nucleotides) under uncultured Duganella sp. RNAcentral describes it as "bacterial SSU rRNA". It matches the Rfam family "Bacterial small subunit ribosomal RNA", at positions 8 to 985 of the family's 1533-position model. Lineage: Bacteria; Pseudomonadati; Pseudomonadota; Betaproteobacteria; Burkholderiales; Oxalobacteraceae. The record is from RNAcentral.